AACUUGGUAGUUAAAUUUAUAACAACAGGUUGCAAACCUGUAGUAGCAGUUAUUUGCCUAAGUUU
Molecule: transfer RNA, 65 nt
Filed under: Modiolus metcalfei
Lineage: Eukaryota; Metazoa; Mollusca; Bivalvia; Mytilida; Modiolidae
Also listed under: 1 other name
Description: tRNA-Cys
Rfam family: tRNA
About the family: Transfer RNA (tRNA) molecules are approximately 80 nucleotides in length. Their secondary structure includes four short double-helical elements and three loops (D, anti-codon, and T loops).
Source: RNAcentral